GCAGGGAAGGGAAAAAGGCGUA
Molecule: microRNA, 22 nt
Filed under: Drosophila mojavensis
Lineage: Eukaryota; Metazoa; Arthropoda; Insecta; Diptera; Drosophilidae
Description: Dmo-Mir-316_3p* (star (passenger))
Source: RNAcentral